Molecule: ribosomal RNA, 249 nt
Filed under: Triticum aestivum (bread wheat)
Lineage: Eukaryota; Viridiplantae; Streptophyta; Magnoliopsida; Poales; Poaceae
Description: partial small subunit ribosomal RNA
Source: RNAcentral
AUGAAGGCGUCCUGGAGGUCCUUGCCCAUGGGGGCCGCGCCGGACAUGACCAUGCGGAUGGACGCGAGGUCGGCGGCCGUCACCCGGUCGCUCUUGGCGAUCUCGACGACGAUGGGCGGCACGAAGGGCGCCACGGUGACCGCGUGCGCGCGCACCAGGCGCACCAGCGCGCCGUGGUCGAACUUGCGCAUGAUCACGAUCGCGCACCCGGCGCGCAGCCCCGCCAGCAGCACCGAGUUGAGCGAGUAG